CCCCCUCACAGACACCUCUUUCUCACCUCUCUCACCCCUCGUCAUUUCCGCCGCCAAAAAUUGCCUCACGGUGGCGGGUAAUCACCAAAAGACCCCAUUUCUUCACCCUACAGUCCCCAGCCCGUCCUCGUUCCAUCUAUCAUUCAUUUUCUCAAAAAUCCAACGGAAUUCCACUAUUAGUAGAUCUAAGAUUGGCCAAAGUACCAAAAUCCUUUCUCUUCGUCUGUUGCUUAAAUCCCAGGCCUGUUUGGUGUUGAAAUCGAUCCCAAUCAGUAGCCAUUGGCUUGAAUCUUCAAUUGGAGGGGUGGUUCCAGUCCUUUCACGACUGCUAGAAGAUGGCCAAAUCGCCCCGAACCGGCCCAAAGCACCUCGAGUCAUCUGAUAUCUAUUCCUUCGACUGGCAAGAUGUAUUUUAACAUGAAGCAUUGGCCCCUGAAGAGAUUCCGGCUAGUGCUCGUGUAACAAUCCCUCCGUCUCGCCGGAAUUCAUUUGGCCGCAUUAUUUUGAACCCCGGAUAGUUCUUUUAAAUGCAGAUUUCAAUAACAUGACAUGCUUGCGGACUUCAUGCUCAGAUCCUAAAAUGUUGUCUGACUUUGAAAUAAUGAAUCAAGAAUUAGAUUGCAAUGAAGAUAAGUUUAAGGAAAUAAAACAAAGAGUUGGAACAACUAAGAAAAAUUGGCUCCAGAUUGGAAAGAUCCAUACAUGGUAACAAGGGUACUGCCAAAGAGAGCGUUGCACCUGGAAAAUAUCGAAGGAAAUAUCCUGAAACAAUUGUCAAUGCAAAUGCAGCCAAAAGGUUUUUACCAUAAGGCACGAGGUUUGAGAUGACCAAAAGAAGAAGUCUCAAUCCAAAUAAAAGAAAAGAAAAGAAAAACCAGAAAAGAAGUUGAGCUCUAAGUGCAGAAGCGGAUAAAAAUGUGGACUGCUCAAGACAUAAUUGAAGUCACAAGCUUUGCAUGUCCCGCUUUGAUCCGAGAAUUUGAAAAAGGAAUGAACCAACACCUGUAGCUAACGAGCAUCAAUAUUCAGAUCAGAGUUUGCAGGAAGAACCAGCCAAGACUCAAGAUCAAUCUUUAGAAGGUUUAUAGAUAAGAAUUUUGUAACUCAUGGUUGAUAGGCGUAGCUAGUUUAGUUUUUCAUCUUUCAUUUUGGUGUAAUAAGGAGCUCAACAAGAAGAAACAACAUCAACAACAGUGAAAUCACAGUUUCUCGGUAGUCCUAACUACCAAAACUUUCAGAACUA
Molecule: RNA transcript, 1243 nt
Organism: Nicotiana tabacum (common tobacco)
Lineage: Eukaryota; Viridiplantae; Streptophyta; Magnoliopsida; Solanales; Solanaceae
Source: RefSeq, a predicted model, not a curated record